UUCACAGAUACACCUGCGCCACCUAUCGGAGGUUACGGCGAUUCCCGUGCGUGUGAUCACUAUACUCGUCUUGCCUUAUAACAUGACGUGUAUGAAAAUGAUGUAAAUAAUCAUUUUUAAAAUGGAAGAAUUUACAAAUUUUCAGGUUAUGGUGGGCCAUCUGGCCACGGUUUUUACCAUAAUAAUGUUCCUGACUGGCGUGCAGAUCUGUUUAAAAAUCUGGAGACAAGGUUCCAGUACAGAUAUAUCUUUCUUCCCUUUCAUUGCCGGUCUGGUCAGCGCAUCCCUUUGGUUGCAGUACGGUUUGUUCGUUCACGAUGCUGUGGUAAUCAUGGUCAAUAGC
This is a long non-coding RNA of Centruroides sculpturatus (bark scorpion), 343 nucleotides long. RefSeq lists it as uncharacterized. The transcript is spliced from 3 exons. The record is from RefSeq and is a predicted model, not a curated record. Lineage: Eukaryota; Metazoa; Arthropoda; Arachnida; Scorpiones; Buthidae.